UGUAAAGUACAUGCUACUUAUAGCAAAAUAUUCUAAAACCCUAAUACUCAAAACGACGCAGUAUUGGGACGGAUUAAGAACUGUACUCGACCCAUGUGGUCGAGUGAGGGGUCGAGUGAUAAGAUGGAGUCUUCUUUUCUUCCUUGUACUCGAAUGUCUGAUUGAGUGCGGAAUGGAGAAGACUUUGAAGCUGGCAGUCGAGUAUGUAGUCGAGUGAUAGAGAUGGUGGUACUCGGCUUGGUGGUAGAGUGAUCGAGUGAAGGUGAUGAAGGUACUCGACCACGUGGUCAAGUAGUGUGAUCGAGUGAAGGUGAUGUGGUGGACGUGAUGAUACUCGACCAGGCGGUCGAGUGAUGAGAUCGAGUGAUUGUCUUGGUGGUACUCGACUAGGGGGUCAAGUGGUGAUGUGAAGUGAUGAUGAUACUUGACCUCGUUGGUAGAGUGAUUGGUCGAGUGAAUGAUGAUGGCGAUACUCGACCAUGUUGGUAGAGUGAUUUGUCGAGUGGAUGAUGAUGGUGAGACUCGGCCAUGUUGGUAGAGUGAUUGGUCGAGUGAAUGAUGAUGGUGAUACUCUGCCAUGUUGGUAGAGUGAUUGGUCGAGUGAAUGAUGAUGGUGAUACUCGGCCAUGUUGGUGGAGUGAUAGGUCGAGUGAAUAAUGAUGGUGAUACUCGACCUGUUGGUAGAGUGAUUCGCUAUAGAGGUUGUGGCCGAGUAAUUCAAGAACUCCAUGAUGACUAUACUUGAGCUCGUGGUCAAGUAUGUUGAUUUGAUCAGGUGCACUUCUUCCAAUUAACUCACCAGCAGCUCCAAAUCAUCUGAAAACAACACAAAUAUGCAAUAUGCAUGCAWAACUAUCCUAGACAUGCAAAGUGAUGACAAAUGAUGAGAAAUGGUAUAAAACAGUGGUGAUAUGAUGCUAAAGUGAUGACAAAUGGAUGCUCAAAACGUGUAAAAUGCACACUUAUCAACUCCCCCAAACUUAGUAUUUGCUUGCCCUCAAGCAAACAAUUAAGAACAAGCUGGAGAUGAGGUUUGAAAGCGGGGACUCAGAACCAAAGCAUGAGAUAUGACAAUUAAGAUCAAUGUAUAAGCUAACAGUUCUAAAAUGCAAGGUGAUCGACUUCUACUUAAAAACUUUAGUUAUGCUCUGUUAUGAUCCAAAUUCACACUCAGUUGCACAAUACGUCAAGAUCAACCAAUCCCUUUAACAUUCAUUACGUUCAGGAACAUGAAUCAAGACAUGCAUCGCUAGUGAACUCAUUUGGCUAAGGACGGGUUAUGAGACAAAGAUGGUCCCUUUAAGGUGGUUCAAAUUUUAAUAACAGGGGACUCUCAAUGAAAAAGGACUGAGCUUUAGAUGAAUGCUAAAGGUAAGUGCCAACCUAUGCAUACAAGAAUAACAUCCCAUCUACCCAAUGACAUAAACCGUGAAUAACAAGUAGAUGGUCCUAUCUCUAAACCCAAUGAUGAUCCUAAGUCUACCCUUUUGCACUAAAGGAAUAU
This 1504-nucleotide small RNA is filed under the name Arabidopsis thaliana (thale cress). RNAcentral describes it as "ATSL030940". The record is from RNAcentral. Lineage: Eukaryota; Viridiplantae; Streptophyta; Magnoliopsida; Brassicales; Brassicaceae.